UCGCUCCUACCGAUUGGGUGUGCUGGUGAAGUGUUCGGAUUGGUUUUAGUUGAUGGCAACAUCGGCUUUUACUGAGAAGAUCAUUAAACCCUCCCACCUAGAGGAAGGAG
RNAcentral lists this ribosomal RNA (110 nucleotides) under uncultured eukaryote. RNAcentral's name for it is "partial small subunit ribosomal RNA". It matches the Rfam family "Eukaryotic small subunit ribosomal RNA", at positions 1676 to 1785 of the family's 1831-position model. The record is from RNAcentral.